RNAcentral lists this ribosomal RNA (546 nucleotides) under uncultured Glomeromycotina. RNAcentral describes it as "SSU rRNA". It matches the Rfam family "Eukaryotic small subunit ribosomal RNA", at positions 548 to 1098 of the family's 1831-position model. The record is from RNAcentral. Lineage: Eukaryota; Fungi; Glomeromycota.
UUGGAGGGCAAGUCUGGUGCCAGCAGCCGCGGUAAUUCCAGCUCCAAUAGCGUGUAUUAAAGUUGUUGCAGUUAAAAAGCUCGUAGUUGAAUUUCGGGAUUAGUACGCUGGUCGUGCCUUCGGUACGUACUGGUGUUACUGAUUUCUACCUUCUGACGAACCAUCAUGUCAUUAGUUUGGUGUGGUGGGGAAUCAGGACUGUUACUUUGAAAAAAUUAGAGUGUUUAAAGCAGGCUCGCGCUUGAAUACAUUAGCAUGGAAUAAUGAAAUAGGACGUUGAUCCUAUUUUGUUGGUUUCUAGGAUUGACGUAAUGAUUAAUAGGGAUAGUUGGGGGCAUUAGUAUUCAAUUGUCAGAGGUGAAAUUCUUGGAUUUAUUGAAGACUAACUACUGCGAAAGCAUUUGCCAAGGAUGUUUUCAUUAAUCAAGAACGAAAGUUAGGGGAUCGAAGACGAUCAGAUACCGUCGUAGUCUUAACCAUAAACUAUGCCGACUAGGGAUCGGAUGAUGUUAUUUUUAAUGACUCAUUCGGCGCCUUACGGGAAAC